RNAcentral lists this transfer RNA (73 nucleotides) under Camelus ferus (Wild Bactrian camel). It matches the Rfam family "tRNA". From Rfam's summary of the family: Transfer RNA (tRNA) molecules are approximately 80 nucleotides in length. Their secondary structure includes four short double-helical elements and three loops (D, anti-codon, and T loops). The record is from Rfam by way of RNAcentral. Lineage: Eukaryota; Metazoa; Chordata; Mammalia; Artiodactyla; Camelidae.
GAGGAUAUAGCUCAGUGGUAGAGCGCCUGCCUACCACUGAAUAAGGCCCUGGGUUCAAUCCCCAGUACCUCCA